This 17396-nucleotide long non-coding RNA is filed under the name Phaseolus vulgaris (common bean). RNAcentral's name for it is "long non-coding RNA (PVUL_LNC002161)". The record is from RNAcentral. Lineage: Eukaryota; Viridiplantae; Streptophyta; Magnoliopsida; Fabales; Fabaceae.
UGAAAUAAUAAAAUAUUGGUUUGUAGGGUUUAGUUUUUGAGCUGACAAAUUUUAAAAAUUUAAGGUUGAAAGAUAGAUUUUGCGAAACGAGAAUGAAUGAGAGGUUUCUCAGAGUGCGACUAAGAAUACGAUUUUGAGGGAUUUGGAGUUGUAGUAAGAUUUUGAUGACGACUACAAUUUUCAAUUUCGAUUGGGAGUUCGAAUUGGAGUGAGAGUGCGAAUCAAUUUUUCACUUCGAUUUUGAGGUUAGUUUUGUUUCAUUGCGUUUGAUUUUGGAUAUAAGGGUUUUUUUGUUUUAGAUUUCCGUUUUGGGUUUUGAGUUUAAGGGUUAUUUAGGAUUUCAUUUUGGGUUUUUGACUUUCAGGGUUAUGUAGGGUUUUGUUUUGGGCGUUGAUUUUAGGGUUCAUGUUGGUUUCCGUUUUAGAUUUGGAUUUUAGGGGUUAUUUAGGGUUCCUUUUUGGGUUUUGAUUUUAGGGGUUAACUAGGAUUUCAUUUUGGGUUUUUGAUUUUAGGAGUUAUUUAUGUUCCAUUUUGGGUUUUAAGUUUAAGAAUUAUGUAGGUCUGUUUUGGGUUUUGAUUUUAGGGGUCAUUUAGGAUUCUUUCUUGCCAUUCUAGAAUUAUAUUCUUAGCAUCACAUUUCCUUUCAUAUAUGCAUUCAAAUUUUCUUAUACUUUAACCAUUCUUUACUUCUUUUCAAUUCUAAAUUUGAUAUUAGUGUUUGAAUAUAUGCUAUUUCUAUUUUCAUUUUAGAUUAUUGUAAAUUCAAUUGUAUUUGCAUUCAAUAUUAGUUUGCAUUAAAAUUCUUGUAUUUAUCUCUUAUGCAUACCAUAAGAUAGUGAAUUCCAUAUAAAGAGUCAAUCCAAAUCCGUGUGCACUACUAUUGCAUGAUGGUUUUGUGUAACUAACGUCUUUUUUCUUUCCAAUAUUUCAUAUAAUAGCACUUUAACAAUCUUUUUUUUAUAUAAACUUUGUAUAUAAUGUGAUGCAUGUUGAAUGGCUUAUGGAAAUUGAAAAUUUUAAAUUGUAAGUGGAAAAAAUAAAUGGUGGGCUUUAGUUACUUGUACAUAUGUUCAAAUUUAGUCCUUCAUCUUGCAAUAUUUUUUUCAAUCCUGAAGUAGCUAAGGAGCCGCCACAAUUGGAGCUUAAUCCAAAGAAAUUCAUGUGCUCUUGGUUCUUGUUUUCCAUCAAUUUGUUGGAAAGGUCUUGUCAUAUUAUUAUUUGCAUUUCUUACUAUACCGACCCGUCCUCGGGCGUUGACCAAAGUCAACACUUGGUAGGACUCAUCAGGGGCACAAUGAGGUGAGAAGGGAGACGACCAGGUCUCGGGCGCUGACCAGGCCCCGGGCGUUGACCGGCCUCGGGCGUUGACUGGGUUCAGACCAAGAAGCGUUUACAACUGGGUGGUGCCAUCCCCCGAUACCCACGGGUAGGAGUGACAGUGGAGAGGGCAGCACAAUAGGAAGCGACACAAGUAGGAGGCGACAAGGUAGAGGCGUGGAGGCCUCAGGCCUCGGUACCCCGACAGAGUAAAAAUAGAAGAGAAAUGUGGUUUCCUAGCCACACCCCUUGUACCAGCAGGGAGAGACCCAACUCGCGGAGUAUCUGUGCAUGAGGCGUGGGAACGCGACAGUACGCGCCACCGUCAGAGAACCACUGGGACAGAUACAACACAUGAGAAGGCCACGUCCCAGGGGGUAAUCUGCAUGCAUGGUACGUGAGGAGGGUAGAAACACUCCUAAGGCGAGUGACUAGGAGCUGGGGUGCAUGAGUUGGCACCCAUGUAAUCACCCCCCGCGCCAGAUGCACUUCGAGAAGGGAGACUUACACGCUGGGAUUUCCCUAAGUUGGGUUACAGCGUCGUAAGGCCUCCCAUACAGAGUUAUGCUUAAGUCAGAAGGAGACACGUGGCAGAAGCACUGGAAAGGUAUAUAAGCUUUCGCUAUCAGCAGACUAAGGUACGUUUUACACGCUUAGAGUCAUUUGCGCUUACGCACUGUAUGCAUGAGUGACUUGAGAAUGAGAGAGAAUACAGUUAGAAUCCAGUUACGCACCUUUUGAACACGGUGUCUGUGGUGUUCUGAUAUGGAGGUGCACGGUGUUUUCUGCUAGUACUGACUUGAGCGUUGGAGUGCAAACGGCUGCGAGGGCGCCCUUUUUUCUCUCUGUUUCAGGUACUCACGGCGGCGAAGGAUGGAGAUUUGGAACGAAGACGAAGGAGUCCUUGAUACGCAGCACGUAGCUAUGCACGAAGAACAAUCUGGUCAACCAGUAUGAACAUUUGGAGCCCACCGUGGGGCAGAUCUAAAACAGCAGUCCCACUGCAAGUAGUUUGAGUUUCAGUAGCGACAACGAGGUUUGUGGAGGUUUUUCAAGAUUCUUGCAAGAUUCGCCGAUAAUAUUCAAGUUUCGUUCAGUUCUACCGAAGCAAGUUCCAAGAUUCAUAGUAACAGUUCAAGAUUCUCUAGGAAACCGUGAAGAAUGAGGACUACGAGGCAUAGUUCAACAACACGCACAGAGAGUGAUGGCAUGACCUUGCAGCAGGUCGUGGAGGUGAUGGCAGCGUCGAAAGCGGAGCAAGAACACAUUCAGCUGGAUCUCGCGGCGUCGCAGGCGAGAAACGAAGAGCUGUGCCGCGCGAACGAAGAGUUACGCCGCGGGUUGCGCAACCACCCUGGGAAUCGUGAAACAGAGGAUCGCGAGUGUUUCACACCACCUAGGGAGUUUCCUAUGCCGUUCUCGCAGUCUAUCAUGGAGGCAGUGAUCCCACACACGUUCGUGGGUCCGAAGGCGCACCUCACUGCGUUCCAUAUGCAGAUGAUGCUUGUUGGCAGUUCUGACGCCGUGAGGUGCAAGCUCUUCAUGAGUACAUUGACAGGUAUGGCAAUGGACUGGUGCAUUAGCCUUCUAGAUGGUCAUGUGACCUCCUUUGCGCAGCUUUCACAGCUGUUUAGGGAGCAGUAUAUCACGAACCGAGCUCCCUCGCCGGUGUCGUAUGACUUCUUCGACGUGAAGCAGUAUCAGGGGGAGACGUUGAAAGAAUACAUCAACCGUUUUCAACCGUUUUGGGAGACGUUGAAAGAAUACAUCACUACGGAAGAGCCAAUGAUCGUGUAUGCGUUCAGGAAGGGGAUCUGCCCUGGGCCAUUCUGCGAGUCGAUCAUCAGGAAUCGCCCCAGAACUUUCGCAGAAAUAAGGCGUCGCACGGAAGGGGAGGUGUGUGAGAAACGUUCAACUGUUGCACCUGCGCGCCCUAGAGCACAAUCGCGUGCACAGCCCGCAAGGGUGAAUGAGGCCGCGACGGGGAAGAGAGGCCAAGAGAGGAAGCGCCCCUACGAGGCGAGGAAGCCCCAGACGAGGGGACGCGCAGGGGAGAACCGGCAGGCUAGGCACAACUUCGUGGUGGAGCUGAAGGACCUCAUCGCAGUACCUAACAUCGCAGAUAGGCUGAGGGUCCCUGCGAAGACAGAUAAGGUGUUGGGACCACACAAGGACACGUGGUGUGAGUUCCAUCAGGCGUUUGGGCAUCAGAUUACCAACUGCUUGGCUAUGGGCCAUCAGUUGGACGAGCUUGUGAUGAGCGGGUUCUUGAAUGACUAUUUGGCGGGGUCAUCCACAGCUGCGGCCUUGGCGGUACCAGUAGAAGAUCAGGCCCAUGAGAUGCCAAUCCAUGGGGAGGUUCACACCAUUUCUGGUGGCUUUUCAGGCAGAGGAUGCACUGCCUCUCAGCGCAAGAGGUACGUGGUGUGAGUUCCAUCAGGCGUUUGGGCAUCAGAUUACCAACUGCUUGGCUAUGGGCCAUCAGUUGGACGAGCUUGUGAUGAGCGGGUUCUUGAAUGACUAUUUGGCGGGGUCAUCCACAGCUGCGGCCUUGGCGGUACCAGUAGAAGAUCAGGCCCAUGAGAUGCCAAUCCAUGGGGAGGUUCACACCAUUUCUGGUGGCUUUUCAGGCAGAGGAUGCACUGCCUCUCAGCGCAAGAGGUACGUGCGGUCAGUGAAUUCGGUGGCUAAGCAGGGGGCAGACGACUCGCUCGACAUCGACCUUGCGUUCACAAGGGCUGAUUUUCGCGACGUCGUCCCCCACAAUAACGACCCUGUCGUGACUGCAAGGAGGAAGGUGCAUCGCAUGCUCGUGGACCAGGGCAGCUCCGCGGACGUAAUGUUCUGGUGCACGUUCAACAAGUAGUAACUGUCCCCUGAUCUGCUAAGGCCAUAUACAGGGUGCUCCUAUGGUUUCGCAGGGGACCAGGUGGAGGUGCAUGGCUAUCUUGAGUUGAGAAUGACUUUCACAGAUGGUACGAUGUCGCAGACCGAGAACAUAAGGUAUCUGGUUUUGAACGCCAGUUCGACGUACAACAUUCUGUUGGGGAGGCUAGCCCUGAACAAAUUGAGGGGGGUGUCGUCGACACGACACAUGAAGCUGAAGCUGCCUGAUUCAGUGGUAGAAUGAUCGUGAUCAAGUCCAAUCAGCAGGAAGCGAAAAGGUGCUAUGAAAAUAUCCUGAAAACAAAGAGAGGCGUGUUUAUGGUGGUGGAGCACCCACCCAGCGCGGAUACGCCCAUGGAGGUAGAGCCCGUGGAGGAGAUGCCCGCUGAGGCAGUGCCCACGAAGGAGGCGCUCGAGGAGGCGGUACGCAUGGGAGAGACGCCCGCGGGGGCAUCGCCCAUGGGGGAAGUGCCUGCUGAGGCGACACUUGGAAGGGAGGGCCGCGAAGGCGUGUCUCGCGCAGAGAACGCCCGGGAGAGGCGGCCCGAGCCAGUAGAGAAUGUGGUAGAGAGGCAGAUUGGUGGUAAGACUUUUAAACUGGGACGGCUGAUGAGUCAGGAAGAACAGGACCAGGUGGCGGCAGUAAUCUCACGUCACCUGGACGCCUUUGCAUGGUCCGCCUCGGACAUGCCCGACAUUGACUUGGAUUUUUUAUGCCACCAUCUCACCAUGGACCCCAAGGUCCGCCCUGUGCAACAGAGGAGGAUAAAGUUCAACGAGGAAAGGCGCCUCGUCAUGCAGGAAGAGACCAGGAAGCUGCUGAGCGCCGACCACAUCAGGGUGAUCCAGUACCUUGAGUGGCUGGCCAACGUGGUGUUAGUGAAGAAGGCGAACGGGAAGUGGAGAAUGUGUGUGGACUUCACUGACCUGAAUAAGGCGUGCCCUAAGGAUUCGUAUCCCCUGCCUAGCAUCGACGCGUUGGUGGACAACGCCUCGGGCUGCAAGAUGCUGAGUUUUCUGGAUGCGUUUUCGGGGUACAACCAGAUCAAGAUGCAUCCCCGUGACGAGUGCAAAACGACAUUUAUGACAGAGAUGUGCUGUUAUUGCUACAAGGUGAUGCCGUUUGGGUUAAAGAAUGCAGGCGCUACUUAUCAAAGAUUGAUGGAAAGGGUCCUUGCACCCAUGCUGGGUAGGAAUGUGCAGGCCUAUGUAGAUGACAUGGUGGUGACCUCCCAAGAGAGGGGGCGACACACAACUAAUCUGGAAGAGCUGUUCGCCACAAUAGCCAAGUACCGCCUCAAGCUGAACCCUGAGAAGUGUGUGUUUGGGGUCGAGGCGCGUAAGUUUUUGGGUUUUAUGCUCACUGAGCGGGGGAUAGAGGCGAACCCCGACAAGUGUGCGACGAUUCUGGCAAUGAGGAGUCCCGCCUCGAUGAAGGAAGUUCAGCUGUUGACGGGGCGGAUGGCCACUCUGUCCAGAUUCGUAUCCGCUGGAGGAGAUAAGGGACACCCUUACUUCCAGUGCUUGAAAAGAAACAGUAGGUUUGAUGGAAGAGGGCCAAGCACACCCUUCCGUGAAAGGCAAGAGCCAAGUCAAGAACGUCUAGACCACAAGGCAAGAGCAUCUAGACCAUCCAAGACCAAGCUAGGAGCGUCCAAGACCAAGCUAGGAGCGUCUAAAGAUCAAGCUAGGAGCGUCUAAGACCAAGCUAGGAGCGUCUAAGACCAAGCUAGGAGCAUCUAAGACCAAGCUAGGAGCAUCUAAGAUCAAGCUAGGAGCGUCUAAGACCAAGCCAAGAGCGUCUAGAACAAGAAGACUUGGAUCAAGCUAUGAAUGGAAAAAGGCCUAAUAGCACAUAUUCCGUGAAGGCCCAUCAAGUGUAGUUUAGCUUUAAAUGAGGUGUAAAUAGCAUAACCAUGUGGACAAUUGUUUAAUUUUCUGCACAUUAGAAUUAAGGAAGCAUUAACCUUGAUUAGCUAAAGGUUUCUAGAAGCCUUUACUAAUAAAGGACCAUGUGCACCCAUGUGCACCCAUGUGCUUCACAUUUACAUUUCAUUUGGCUUACAUUUGUGUAGCAUUUAGGUCAUCAAAUCUGGUCCUCCUUAGCCUAUAAAAGGAGGGGCCAACCUCAUGUAUUGCAAGUUUAUUGUGAGUAAAGUUAUGCUGCCAUUUUGUGCCAAGGUUUGCUUCUCCCUAGAACUCUAGGCUCUAAACUUCACAUUCUUCACCUUUCCUUGGGCUGGCCGAACCUCCCAAUGUUCAUACACAUCAUGCACCUUCAAGAUCAACAUCAUUCUUAGGAGGAUCUUGCACACACACAUCCAUAGCUUCCGCACCAUCUCUUACAUGAUUCAAGAAGAACUUCAUGAAUUUUGCCAUCAAGGUUUACGUGGACAGAGGAGUGCGAGGCGGCAUUCCUCAAGCUCAAGGAGUAUCUGGUGGCUCCUCCCGUGCUUUGUAAGCCACAGACAGGCGUGCCCCUCCGGUUAUACUUUGCGGUGACCGAGUGGGUGAUCAGUGCUGUGCUUGUUCAGGAGCAGGACCAGACCCAGAAACCUAUAUACUUCGUGAGUAAGGUCUUGCAAGGGUCGGAGGCGAGGUAUCAGUCUUUAGAGAAGGCGGCUCUGGUAGUGGUGUUCUCGGCCAGGAGGCUCCAUCACUACUUCCAAAGGCUUACGGUGGUAGUAAUGACGGACCUCCCCAUCCAGAAGGUGUUGCAAAAGCCAGAUGUCGCAAGAAGGAUGGUCUGUUGGGCGGUGGAGCUAUCUGAGUUUGAUAUUCUGUAUGAGCCCAGAGGGUCCAUCAUGGGGCAAGUGUACGCAGAUUUCUUGGCGGAGCUCUUGCCAGGAAGCACACAGCAAGAGGAAGAGGUUGGCUCCCAGUGGGUGCUCUCGGUGGAUGGGUCCUCCAACCAGCAAGAGAGUGGAGCCGGCGUGGUCCUGGAGGGGGGCCAAAUGGUUUGCUGAUCGAGCAGGCCCUGAGGCUUGCGUUCAAAGCUAGUAGGAACCAAGCAGAGUACGAGGCCCUAAUAGCUGGGAUGCUCUUAGCCAAAGAGCUGGGUGCACGGAGCCUGCUCGCCAAGAGUGAUUCGCAGCAGGUCAUGGGGCAGGUGGCCGGGGAGUACCAAGCCAAGGAUCCGCAGAUGGCUACAUAUUUGAAGUAUGUCCAAGUGCUGAAAGGGGCGUUCGUGGCGUUCGAGUUGGUCCAUGUCCCGAGAGAGCAAAAUGCCCGUGAUGACCUGCUCGACAAGCUGGCCAGCUCAGACAAGGGGGGAAGGCAGAGGACGGUCAUCUAGGAGAACCUCAAAACGCCGCGAACAUUUGUGGUGGAUAACAGGGUGGACGUCCUUCAGAUCAGUGCGUUCAAGGAAAGGCCGAGGAGUUAUCGGUCCUUGAUUCAGGACACGGCGAGGGCCCCCAGUAUAAGUGUUUACCUUGCCUCGCCAGAAGGGGAGGACCCCAUGCAGGUGUGCGUCCUGGAAGAAGGGGACACGUGGAUGACGCCCUAUAGGCGCUACAUCGCGGAUGGGAUCCUCCCAGUAGAGCCCGAAGAAGGCAAGAAGAUAAAGAGAAAUUCCACGAGGUACACCCUCGUGGAUGGAGCACUGUUUAGACACGGGUUCACGCACCUGACCUUGACAUGCGUGAGUGGAGAUGAGUGCACGAGGAUAAUGUCUGAGGUCCAUGAAGGGAUUUGUGGGAGCCACGUAGGAGGAAGGUCUUUGGCGCCCAAGGUGGUGCGUGCAGGCUUCUAUUGGCCAACGGUGAGGGAGGACUGCGUAAGGUACGCCCAGCAUUGCAAGCAGUGCCAACUGCAUGCCGAUUGGCACAAGGCGCCCCUAGAAGAACUGAGGUCAAUUUACAGCCCAUGGCCUUUCCACACGUGGGGAAUUGACAUUCUGGGGCCUUUCCCAUUAGCAAUAAGGUAGAUGAAGUACUUGAUAGUUGCUAUUGAGUACUUCACAAAGUGGAUAGAAGCAGAGCUGGUGGCAUAGAUCACCGUACACAAGGUACAACACUUUGUCUGGAAGAACAUUAUGUGUCGCUUUAGUGUACCGAGGCGCCUUGUCUCGGACAAUGGUACUCAGUUUGCAAGCCAGCAGUUGGGAAAACUGUGUACAGAGAUAGGCAUCAAGCAAGUGUUCGCAUCUGUCGAACACCCCUAGACGAACGGACAGGUGGAGUCCGCCAACAGAAUCUUGCUGAGGGGGUUGAAGAGGAGGCUUGAGAAAGCCAAGGGAACUUGGGCGGAGGAAGUGCCCAGGAUAGUGUGGGCUUAUCACACCACGCCCCAAACUUCCACCAUGGAGACGCCGUUCAACCUAGUAUACGGAUCGGACGUCAUGAUCCCAGUAGAGAUCCACGAGAGCUCACCGCGUUUCCAGAGUUUUGUGGCUGAGGAGUCCAACGAGGAGAGGAGGGUAAAUCUAGAUUUGUUGGACGAAGCUAGAGAAGAAGCGAGAAUAAAGGCUGAGGCCGUUAAGAGAAAAGUGGAGCAUCAGUACAACUCCAAGGUGAAGCCUCGACAGUUCCAAGUGGCUGACUUGGUCACAAGUAAGGCUCAUCCAUAUGAGUUGGAGAACAAGCUUGUCCCCCAAGUGGACCGGGCCCUUCAGAGUAACCGAGGCUCGGGGGAACGGGUCGUACAAGCUUGAGACUCUGGAGGGAGGCCCCAUCUCGCGCACUUGGAACGCGGCAAAUUUGAAGUUUUAUUUCAGUUAAAAACUCUAUGUAGUGUACAGUUCAAGGGGACACUCUUUUUCCCUUUCGAGGGUUUUUUUAAUGAGGUUACCCAAGUAAAAAUCAGUUUGAGCAUACAUUGUCUUAAGUUUUCCUUAUUACGAUGUAAAGAAACACUAAGAAGAGAUAACGCGGUUCAGUAAGAAACGAACCCACCACCUUGGUGUUUAGACACCUCGAGGGGAGAUGCAGGGGUGCCUCCCUCGGGCGUGGGCACCAAGGACAAAAAGGAAGUUCAGAGCAGUGGAGAGCCAGGUGCCUUGAUGCAGAUACACGCCAGAUGGGAGAAGCGCUAUCCUUUGGGAAACCUUCUCCUUGGGCGUAAACGCCAAGUCCCUGCUCAUCUUGGUGUUUAGACACACCAGGGACGAAACGACACUAAUUUUAGCAGGCCUUUCCUCGGGUGUGGGCACCAAGUACACUCGCCUUGGUGUUUUAGACACACCGAGGACGUAACGACACUGCUUCCUAGCGGGCCUCUCCUCGGGCGUGGGCACCAAGUGCAAGAUAUAAGGACUGGUUGCCUUGGUGUUUAGACAUAUCGGGGACGAAACGGCACUGCCUCAGACAGGUCUCUCCUCGGGCGUGGGCACCACGAGCAACUUCGUCCUAGUGUCUAGACACAUUGAGUACGAAACGACCCUACUUUCAGCAGGCCUCUCCUCGAGUGUGGGCACAGAGUCCAGUAAAUGGACUUCGGCCAAGAUAAGUCUUCCUUCGCCUUUGAGCGACGUCGAGGCCAGUGAAGAUAAGUUCUCCUUCGCCUUUAAGCGAUGUCGAGGCUAGUAACACCUUCGGGGGUAGGCGCCUCAGGGCCACGAGGGUUAAGCGAAGAUCAAGUUAAAAGAUUCCUACGAGUUAAGAAGAGGAAAGGAUCGGGAGCAAGCGAAAGGUAUGCACGUUUGACUUUGUAAGAAAGAUAAGAAGGAAAAGCGCGCGCUACCUAUAGUUCGAGAAAGUAAAUAAGCUAGGCAAAGGAAAACAAAGUAAACAACAGAAACAUCAUGGAAGCGGCAAAUAUGAGUAAGUAGAAGUAAAUCCUUAAAGUUAAAAGAUGAAGGUCAUCCAGAAUGUGUAGAGUAAAUAACAGGGUUUCAAAGUUACAACGAAAAGGAUAGCUAGUCGUCUUCAGAAAAUUCUAUUGGCACGACUUUCCCCUCGACGACGUGGUUAGUAGGGGCGUAGUUGGAGACGUCCAUCUCAGGGUGUUCGUAGACCACCUGAGACAGGGCUUCCCCAAACCCUGUAGCAAAGGCGUUCGUGGCGUCGUCGAGGAGCUCCUUCUCGAUUUGCUGGGAGCGCUCAACCUGGGAAGCCAGCUCUUUCUUCAUGGUUGCCAAGGCUUCAGCCUUCACAGCAAGCUGCUUGGCGAGUUCAGCCUUCUCAGCAAGCUGCUUGGCGAGUUCAGACUUCAUCAGAUCAAAGGCUUCGUUCUUGGCAGCCGGUUCAGCCUUCAUCAGAUUAAAAGUUUCGUUCUUGGCAGCAAGUUCAGCCUCCACCUUGCCUAAGUUUACCUCUUGAGAAACACAGCGUUCCUCAAGGGUGGUCAUUCUGGUUUUGGAGGCAUCGGCGACUGCUUUCAGUUCAACUAUUUCUUCAUGAUGAAGGGGCACUACUUUGGCCAGAAGCUCAGUAUAUGUUUAGCCCGCUGCAUGAAGUCUCUUAUUAGCUCCCUCCUCAGCUUUUUGUGCCACCUUCAGGGCCUCUUUGAUAGCGGCCUCUUGGUUGAACCAGCGGUGGGCUUGGUCGUUUGUUUGUUCCUUCAGCGAGGUCAACUCGUAUGCCAGNNNNNNNNNNNNNNNNNNNNNNNNNNNNNNNNNNNNNNNNNNNNNNNNNNNNNNNNNNNNNNNNNNNNNNNNNNNNNNNNNNNNNNNNNNNNNNNNNNNNNNNNNNNNNNNNNNNNNNNNNNNNNNNNNNNNNNNNNNNNNNNNNNNNNNNNNNNNNNNNNNNNNNNNNNNNNNNNNNGUGCAAGAGUGGGCUCAGGGGAAGUUUCAGCUCCCUCUCCCAACGCCCUAUAGUUAGGAGAUGUGAAGGCACUAGGAGGAUGCUCCCUAGAAGACUCAGCAUCCUUGUUGGAGGUGGAGUGGGAUGUGGCUACUGUGGUGGUCCUCCUCCUUUUGAAGACUGGGCCUUCAGUAGUAUCCUCCUCGUCGCUCGAGGGAACAAUCACCACCCCUUUGCCUUUGUCCAGGGGCACUGGUGGAGAUGAGGCCCCAACCAUGGCCAAGGGGAUGGCCGUGAUGGGAAGUGGAGAAGUAGGGAUUGGUAUGGUAUAAACAGAAGGAGGGUUUUCGGUGGUUUGAGCAGGUGUAGGUGUUGGUAAGGUUUGGGCGGGGGAAGUUGGAGAGGUGGCAGCCAAAGCAUCAGGGGCUGGGGGUGUAGAGGCACUAGCCCCACCUGAAGUGGCCUUGCCACGAGCAAACAAGACCUUGGCAAACCUCUUAUGUUUCUACAUACCUAGCAGCAUGUCUGCACCAGAGAAGAAGUGUUGUGAGUCAAACAUGCCAUGAAAGUAGUGUAAGAACAAUUUGAAAGUAUGCAAGAAGAAACAACAUAAACAGAGAUAGAGAAUUGAAGUAGUAAAGAAGGGAUUACUCCCAUACCGAUACAACGGGUCAGUGCAACGAGGUCGUAUUCAUGUUUAAUUAGCUUAGCGGUAUUGAACACUAUCCCUAAGCUAGCCAAGACUUGGCAUAUCUCGCGGUCAGCCGAGUUUAGCUCGUCCAAAGUCUUGGCUUUCUUCAGUUUCACUUCCCUCACCCAAUACAAGGGGAAGCCAUCUAGGGCAGUGAGGUCAGCUUCAGAGCUGCACACCCUGAAGAACUUCCCUCAGAAACCCUUGUAGGAUUGCUGGAAGAGAGACAAGAUUAUCCUCCCAACAAUGUCGCUGAAGCUGACCCACAAAUUCUUCCCAGGGCUUUUUGCCUCGAAGAAAUGGAGGAAGACAUCCACUGAGGGAUAGCACCCAAAAUAGCUGAAAAGGAUGCCGAAAGCCCUGAUGAAAGCCCAACUGUUGGGGUGUAGCUGGGCUGGGGCUACGUUCACCUCUGUCAGAAGCUCCCUUUCGAAGCUUGUGAAAGGGAGGCGUAGGCCAACGCGUUGGAAAACUAUUUGGUAGAAUAUAAAGAAGGGUUCCUCACCAUUCGAGCGGUUAUCUUCACAUACAGUUUUGCCCGCUGUGCAGGGACGAACAGAGAUGUAGGCGUCGUGCCUUGUCCCGAAGGCCCUACCCUUGCACCCGGGUUCGUUGUUUAGAUGGUCCCUCCAAUCCGAAAAAGAAGUUAGGGUUGAGGUCUCUGCGAGCAAUUCAUCAGAGGCCCAAGGGUAUAAUGGUUUGUAGUUAACGCUGGGAGGUGUUGGGUUAGCGGUGGUUUUGGUACACGCCAUUGCACAGCAAAGAAAGCUGAGAAGAAGAAGAGCAAAGGUUUAGCAAGCAGUGGCUAUGGGGGCAAAGUCGAAAGAAACCCAGAAAAACCCUACCCACGCGAGAAGUUCAGAAAACAGGGGAACGAAGAAAACGAGAAGGAAAGCGUAAAUACGAGAAUUUAAACAGUCCCAGACAGUAAUAUCAGAAUGUAAAAUCAAGAGCAAGAGCCAUCAAUGCAGAAAAAUCAUACCUUUGGAUGAUCUAAGAAGGGGAAGUCCUAGGUCUGAGAGGGGAAAUCAGAGGAAGCUUUGAGAAGGAAGAUGAAGAGAGAAAAUGAGAAGCGUAAGUGAUGGAACAGUGUCUGAAGCGCGCGAUUUCGAAAGCUAUAACAUAAACUUGAGAAGCGCAAGGGACGUUAAGUCGUGACCGUGUGAUUGGGCCACGUGUUGAAAGAUUACCGCAUGACUCAAGGUGUCACGUCAUUGUGCAGAAAACGUCUUGUCAACAGAACGCCACGUAGGACAGUAGGGCGAGGCCUUAGUCUUUUCGCUGAAAUCAGUGUUGUCAGCUCAAGACUGGGGGGCUUGUGUACCGACCCGUCCUCGGGCGUUGACCAAAGUCAACACUUGGUAGGACCCAUCAAGGGCACAGUAAGGUGAGAAAGGAGACGACCAGGUCUCGGGCGCUAACUAGGCCCCAGGCGUUGACUGGCCUCUGGCGUUGAUCGGCCUCGGGUGUUGACCAGCGUCGGGCGUUGACUGGGUUCGGACCAAGAAGCGCUUACAGCUGGGUGGUGCCAUCCCCCGAUAUCCACAGGUAGGAGUGACCGUGGAGAGGGCGACACAGUAGGAAGCGACACAGUAGGAAGCGACACAAGUAGGAGGCGGCACGGUAGAGGCGUGGAGGCCUCGGGUACCCCGACAGAGUAAUAAUAGAAGAGAAAGAUGGUUUCCAAGCCACACCCCCAGUACCAGCAGGGAGAGACCCAACUCGCGGAGUAUCCGUGCAUGAGGCGUGGGAACGCGACAGUAUGCGCCACCAUCAAAGAACCACUGGGACAGAUACGACCCAUGAAAAGGCCACGUCCCACGGGGUAAUCUGCAUGCAUGGUACGUGAGGAGGGCAGAAACACUCCCAGUGCGAGUGACUAGGAGCUGGGGUGCAUGAGUUGGAACCCAUGUAGUUACCCCUCACGCCAGAUGCACUUCAAGAAGGGAGACUUACACGCUGGGAUUUCCCUAAGUUGGGUUACAGCGUUGUAAGGCCUCCCAUACAGAGUUACGCUUAAGUCAGAAGGAGACACGUGGCAGAAGCACUGGAAAGGUAUAUAAGCUUUCGCUAUCAGCAGACUAAGGUACGUUUUACACACUUAGAGUCAUUUGCGCUUACGCACUGUACGCACAAGUGACUUGAGAACGAGAGAGAAUACAGUUAGAAUCUUGUUACGCAUCUUCUGAACACGGUGUCUGUGGUGUUAUGAUACGGAGGUGCACGGUGUUUUCUGUCAGUACUGACUUGAGCGUCGGAGUGCAAACAGCCGCGAUGGCGCCCUUUGUUCUCUCUGUUUCAGGUACUCACGGCGGCAAAGGGUGGAGAUUUGGAACAAAGACAAAAGAGUCCUUGAUACGCAGCACGUAGCUACGCACGAAGAACAAUUUGGUCAACCAGCAGGAACACUUACCAUUUUGAAUUUUUUAUUCUAUAUGGAAAAUGAUAUGUUGUUGUUCUCGCCGGUUGACUUCGAUUGGACUUGGUAGUGAGCUUCGGGUUAAAGCGACUUUGCUUGGUGUAUUGAACCGAGAUGAAGACACUUUGGGAUGAAGGGGGCUCAACCUGUUGAUCAUACUCCAACGAUCAAGUCAGUGAGAGCAUUCAAAUUAUAAAAUUUGUAUUAGUGUAGAGCUCUUAGAAAAACUUACCUGUACUCAAGGGCUUAGUGAUGGAAGAGGCCCAAGCUCCGGCCCUAGUUCAAGCCCAACAACUAGGUCCAUGGAAAAGAGGAUUCAAGAAGAUUGGGACUCUACUACUGAUGGCAGAGAAACAUUUCUUUAUAUGUUCAAAGAGGACCACAAGAAGUAAAGCCCAAGCCAUGAGAGCCAAUUUCUUUAUUUGUAAUUUCAGUAGAAUAGGGUUCCUUUAUCAUAAUGGGGGGGAGGGGGGCGGGGGGUGUGUGCUUAUCAUUGUAGCUUGAGUAAAGCUUUUUAGGGUAAGAAGUUAACCUAGCUUAUAGAAGUUUCCUCCUAGGGUGCGACAUUGACUUUAGUCAAAACCCUAGCAGUUGCUCUUUUGUGUAUUCCCCUUCCUACCCUUGCUCCUUGUUCUCCAAGGCACUUGAACCUAUAUAAUGGGGUGCUUGACUCAUGUUUUAAUAAGAUCAAUUUUAUGAGUAAAAUGCUGCCAAUUAUUGCAAGCUUCUACUCCCUUGUCUAGUCUCUCUAGGUUAGACACUUUGAUCUUCAGCUCCAUCUUUCUCCAAGUGAUAUGGCCCAUCCAAUCACUCUCCAUACCUUUCAUGCACCUACAAGGAACCCAUAGCUCUAUAUGAGCCCUUCUUGAUCCAUCACAUCCAUUGCUUCCGCCACCCUUUUCAAAUCUCCAAGAAGAACAACCCAUCAUUUGGUAACAUCACUUAGCCCCCUUUUUAUAGGCAUUCCUUCAACAAUUUCUUCAACAAGAAUAGAACUUCAACAACAAGAAUAUAAUUUCAACAACAAUAAUAUAAUUUUCAACGACAAGAAUAUUCUGUUGACGUAUAUCUUUAUUUUCGGGUACAAUGCGACAUUAUUCUUAAUACUUUUAUUUACAUCGAAAAUAUAUAUACGCUCAACUACUUCAAUUAUUCACCACGUGGUUUUGCUUUUAGUUAUCCUCUUGAUGGACUGCCAAACGUCUGGGCCGACCUCAUGACAAACCAUUGGGCCGUUACUCACCUUAGGCCGAGCAAGGUAUCUCUCAAACUGGCCUGUCUAACCGAGCUACUACACUUAAGUGCUUGGGUCGAUGACCUGUGCACGUCUGACCAGUACACAAGCCCCCAGGCUCAAGCCGAGCUUAACGAGGCGAAAAGGCUCUUUUCUACCGGUGGCUGGCAUGACGUUUCUUAUAGGGGUAGCUGUGACGUGGUUGUCGAAGUGUCUCCUAAAAAGACAUCUCACCAUACUAAAUCUGGUGCGUACACGUGGCACAUUAUCAAUAGUGGGAAAAUGCUAUCGUUUCAAGUUCUUUUUCCAAAAUAACCCUUUUUGUUCUCCCUUUGAAUCAACCAUUCUUCACUCUUUCACUCCAGACCCAUCACUGUGCUCGACCUCGCACUGCCGUCCCACCAGAAGACCAAGUAUGCUUUAUCCACUCAAUCUCAUUGGAUGAUUAUCAUUUACCUCAUUGAUUCUACUUUGAGAAAUGCAUCUUAGUUUUCUUCGAUUCGAUUCAUUUUUCCUUGUCCUGAAUGGUAUUCAUAUUUUAUCUUUGUUUAUUCUUUGGUUGUCUUCGACAAUGGAUUAUAGUUCUGCGUCUUAGGGAGUUUAGGGAAUUAGGGGGUUGUUUGAGCAAAAAACAUGAAAGUUUAGUAAAAGUAGUAGAGAUUAGGGAAGUGGAGCCUAUAUGUAGCGCUGAGUCAUCGAAUUCUUAUGGUCCAUUUUGUUUUUUCUACGCUACAUUCUUUAAAAAGGUCUUACUUCGUCUUCCCUUGUCCAUUUUCGAAAAAGAGUUAUUAAUUGAGUUGAACGUAGCACCCGCCCAGCUACAUCCGAAUAGCUGGGCAUUCAUCCGAGGUUUUAUAAUUUUGUGUUCCCAGCUCGACAUUUCACCGACUGUGAAGGUCUUCCUACAUUUUUUCACAGCUAAACACUUAGGUUGCCAACAAUGGGUUUCUCUAAACGGUGGUCCUGGGAGAGGUUUGCUUACUCUUUUAUAGUCAUCCUACAAAAAACUCAAAGGUCGAUUUAUCAAAGUCCGAGCCUCGACAGGAGAUCAGUCGCUACUAGAUAACUUUCCUUUGUAUUAGACACCCAAAUCCCGGUUUUAGAGUGCUCGACGCUUGGAAGAUCUACCCCAAGAGACCAAGGCAUUUGUGAACAUUUGGUGAAUCUGAAAUUCAUCUUUGAUACUAUGACACUAUUGACUAAAGAAUAUCUCCCCGGUGCUCUCAAAAUCUAUAUUGGUACAUCUCCUUUCUAACCCUUGAAGGGAAAAGUUAAUCCAUGAUCUCUAAAUAUUUAUUCAUUUUUGUAGAUAGCAUGCUUUCCAAUAUUAACAAGGUUGAGAUGGCCGAGCUCACCAGGAAAAUGAGGGCAACUGCUGAUGGAAGAGGCCCAAGCCCAUAGCCUAGUCCAAGUUCAAGCCCAACAAAUAGAAGAUCUGAGCCAACUACAAGAGCUAUGGCAAGAAGGAUCCAAGAGGAUUGAGACACUGCUACUGAUGGCGGAGAAACUUUCCUCUAUAUGUUUAAAAAUGCUAUAAUUUUAGUGUAGGGUAGAAUUUAAUUUUUGUCAAAGUAGAAUAGGAAAUUUUAUUUGUAAUUGAAAUUUGGCACCUAAAAAACCAACCUAGGUUAAAUUAGGGUUUCUAAAACACCUAAUUAACCAAGGCCGAUUAUGAUUAAGCCAUGGAGAAGAGUACACAUUUUUCCACAUGUUCCAUAUGAUACAUGAGCUAAACAUUUUCCAUCAGAGGAUAUGCAUUUGUUCAUCACAGCACAUACUGCACAUGUAUCAUCAAAAUCCUCUGUGUCUUCAACAGUCAUAUGCACUUCGGGAGUGUUUGGAUAAGAUUUUAUUCCUGCAAAUGAAAUGGAAACUGGAGGCAUGGCAGAAUUAAUCUCAACACAUAUAUCAGGAUCACAAGUAUAGCCUGUAUCAAAGUUGGAAAGAUUUUCUAUAUCUAAAUUAGGAUCAUGAUGUGAAUUCAAACUUUGCUUAGAAAUAUCUUCAAUCUGUCUAGCCAAUUGACCAACUUCUCUUCUAAUUCUAAUAGACUAGCAUCUAUGCUUUGUUGAGAUUUCAUUGUAUUUAUCAUUAAUUGUCUCAAUCAGAUCCUCUAAAGAUGGCUCUUCAAGAUUAUGAGGAAUAUUAUCAGUUUGCAAAAAUGGU